This 3447-nucleotide long non-coding RNA is filed under the name Sus scrofa (pig). RNAcentral's name for it is "lncRNA (ENSSSCG00055022986.1)". Lineage: Eukaryota; Metazoa; Chordata; Mammalia; Artiodactyla; Suidae. The record is from RNAcentral.
CAGAUAUAAUCAAAUGCAAAAUCAUUACAUGAUUGUACCUUCUUUUUUUUUGGUCUUUUUAAGGCUGCAGCUGAGACAUAUGGAAAGUUCCCCAGCUAGGGGUCGAAUAGGAGCUGCCGCUUCUGGUCUACACCCCGGCCACGGCAACCCCACAUCCAGGCCGUGUCUGUGACCUACACCACAGCUCAUGACAAUGCCAGAUCCUUAAUCCACUGAGCGAGGCCAGGGAUCAAACUCACAUCCUCAUGGAUCCUAGUUGGGUUUGCAACCCGCUGAGACACAACAGGAAGUCCCUAAAAUGAUUGUCCUUUUAACGUGAGGAUGUAAGUGGACUAGCUGUCAUGCUUUCUAGUUAGUUCUAAUAGACUUUUCAUGAGCCGGGAAGUUACAAAACAGUAGUUACAAUGACAUAUAAUUUAGUUUCAUAUUAUCUUGCACAAGAGAAAUUCUUAUAAAUUAAUUUAAAAAUACUGUGUGAAAGGGAAUGAGGUUUUGAAGGAGAAGUCUUGGGUUUGGGUUCUGGGUGGACCGUUGAACUCUUCAUCCUCAGCCAGCUCAUUGUCAUGGGCUUCCAGAGAAAUGAUCUAUUAAGAAGUGCUGCUAAGAGUAACUCUUCCAUUGAGUUGCUGAAAGAGCCUCGCGGAAAGCUAAUUUCUGUAAAAGAAUGCAGCCAGCUGCAGAGCUCAGUGCAAAUUUAGAGCUGUCAUAAAAGUAAUAGUCCUCGCUUUAAAUAGCAAUAUACAUACAUUUUUCUUUUAGAACUUUAUUCAUAAGAAAUUAAUAUGAAUAGUAAUAGUAAUUCUAUUACUCCAGUAGUAAUUCUAAUUCCUUCAGUAGUAAAACGAAGUGUAAUUUCUUUGCCUACAUUUGAUAGCAAGACAAUAAUGUUUAAGGCUUUCAUAGGUUUAAUAGAUAAUGGAGAUUAGAACUCUUUAAAAAUGAUCUCAUUUGUCCUUGAAUAAUAAAAAGACACUGCAGUCACAUUAGUAUUCCGUUGGCUUUUUUUAUUUUAUCCCAACUUUCUGAGCUAUUUCUUAAAGACUCAUUGAAUAUUUUGCCACCUCUUUGGGAACUCGCAAAAUGAUAUUUAGGGAAGGAUUCUUUUUUAGAACGUUACUAGGUAAGCAACAUGGGCAGAUGUGUUCCAGGUUCAUCCACCAUCCUGGUGACAGGUAAGGGCUCUUGGAAGAAAACCUCAGGAAGAGAUGAAAGGCCCUAUUUCUGGGGAAGGGGGCCUCUAGAAGGCAGAAGGCCCUCUUCUCAUGAAGGAAGCGCAUCUGCUGGAGGCCUGGAGAGGGGUCUUUGCCGAAGGGCAACGGGAGUCUUUGAGCAGCCGCUGGUCCAUUUCCUGUUAACACAAAGCCAUCAUUUCCCUCCUGAUGAAAGCACUUUGGAGCUCAGACUGGAUGACUUGGCGCUAAAGUCACCCUGCCUGGGAGUCUUUCUUCCCGGAUAGAGAGUGGGUUACUGAAGACCCAGGGAGAGAUGGGCUGGGGCGGUCUGCCUUCCGUGGCCUGUGCCCCUCCACCAAGGAUGAGAUUGAGGUGGGCAGGAGAGAGGAAAGAUGACGUCGCUGCUUCCUGGCCCUCUUUGAUUGGCCCCUAUGCUCCUCCAGCCUAUAACUCCUGCUGUUCUAAACGUGGGCAGUGUGGAAGACGUGAUGGUAGCUUGUCGUGACACCAGGCUCGGCUGAUGGACGGUCCACGUGCAGAGGGAACCCAUCCCAUGUGGUGUCAAACCCUAGUUUGCUGGGGAACCUUAGAGCAACGAGUAGACUUAGUGUCUUGAGCCAAAAAGCUGAAAGGCAAAAGAGAGUAAAGCUAUCAUCUCAAUGAGAAUGUCUUUCCUAAACCAUUCAGUCUUCUCAAAACAGGAUGGGUAAGAAAGUGUGUUGUGUUGCCAGCACGUGCUCAGAAACACGGUGGGGGCGUCAGACGUCCUGAGAGAGGACUACAUGGCUGGAGCAUCACACCCAUUCUCCUGGCCAGGAGUUUACAUCCAUCAGAUUGAAAAUACUGUGUCUCCAACGCAGCAUAAAGCAUGGCCAUGCAUCCUGGACCACCUUAGAAUUCGUUCUGCCCGGAAACAAUCCCUUUGUGUUUUCCAUCCCGUGGCAUGAUUCUCUGCCUGACUCUAGUUUUGGCAGAACUUUUGCUUCAGCCUGUCGUGUCGGAAUUCAGCUCAGGGCUGGGAUGUUUGCCUUCCGAGAAGUUACUGGCAAGCCCCCGCUCUUGGUUUGUUUUCAGAUUUGCUGGCUGGCUGAUCUCCAAGCUUGUCCAUCAGCCAGAAAGCAUGUAUUCUGCAAAUCACAACUGGAAAUCAUCCCUGGAGCCAGGCCAGGCUGCCCGUUUCGGAAGAUAAAGUGUGCUCCACGUGGGAAUCACAGCGACAGAAUGGAUGUGUUUUAUUUUUCAUAAUGCUUGAGCCGUAAAUGUGAGCUAACGAGAGAGAGCGCCUGUCAAAUACCUCACAGGUUAGGUGGGUAGUGGACAUGCCAAAUACAGUCCUUUCUCUUCUUCUUGUACCUCUUUUCUCCCUUCACUUUGCAAGUGAAGACGUAACGUGUUAGGGAUGGUUACCUAAAGCUUCUGAAAGGUCGUCAGUACGACACGGGGCGUGUGUGUGUGUGUGUGUGUGUGUGUGUGUGUGUGUGUGUAUAGGAUUACAGUGUCUAAUGGUACAUUUCCUGGGGACUAAGUUUAAGCUAUGCAAAAUGACAAGAGCAGUCUAAUGAUCACAAUGUAACACGCUGUCAAUUGAAGUGUAACUGCUUACCCUAAUGCCCCGUUGAAAGCUGAUAAGCAACUCUGCUUCGGAUACAAUGUAACGCCUAUCUUAGGACCACCUGAAGUGCAUGAGCAUCAAAGGUGGGAGCAAGGCCGAGGCCUUGAACACGUCCAUGACUCCACCACUGCUAGUAAGUACAUUUCUGAAUCCACCUCCACCAACUCCAUCAGGGCUUUAAACCCCCUUCUGCUGGAGCUUUUCCCCCGAUCUUGUAACCGAGCCGAUGCCCUAUGGGGCUCCUGGGCACACGAGCCUCGCUGUGUCCUCCAUGGCUUGUUUUUAGGAAGGAAGCCUCAGCCUCCAUGACCUACCCUAAGUUCCAAAGGGCAGGUUUACACAGAUGCAAGUCAGGGAAGGGAGGGGAAGCAGAGACUGGAGAGGAGGAGCCUUCAAGACGCAGUGGUGCAGGAGCGCCCGUCGUGGCUCUGUGGACUCAAAGCUGACUAGCAUCCAUGAGGAUGCAGGUUUGAACCUUGGCCUCUCGCAGUGGGUUAAGCAUCUGACGUUGCCAUGAGCUGUGGUGUAGGUUGCAGAUGCAGCUCAAUCUGAUGUUGCUGCAGCUGUGGCGUAGGCCGGCAGCUGCAGCGCCAAUUCAACCCCGAGCCUGGGAGCUUCCAUAUGCUGCAGGGUCAGCCCUAAAAAGCCAAAAAAGAAAAAAAA